Molecule: small RNA, 1602 nt
Filed under: Cryptococcus neoformans H99
Lineage: Eukaryota; Fungi; Basidiomycota; Tremellomycetes; Tremellales; Cryptococcaceae
Description: Cryptococcus neoformans var. grubii H99 hypothetical RNA
Source: RNAcentral
GCAUAAUCACUACUCUGCUGGCUUAUCCAUAUACUAUUCCGACUACCACUGUCUGGCAAAUACAACUUUUUAUACGACUCCAUCAUCUUAGAAACCACCACCGCCCAUGUCGCCACCACCCAUGUCGCCUCCGCCCAUGUCUCCACCACCGUAUCCACCACCAUACCCUGUUCAGAUCAGCGGUUGUCAACGACUAACAGUUGGAUGAUAAAAGAUUAGAGAUACACACCACCAUCAAGGGAGUCAGCCAGAAGCAUACCACCCAGCAGACCUGCGCCUCCUCCCAUCAUCAACGGCAUACCCAUGCCCAUACCACCUAGACCUCCACCGUAGCCAUAGUAGCCACGCCUGCCGUAUCCACCGCCAUAUCCUAGAUCCCAAUGUCUUCAGCUAUUAUAAUUUUAUUAGCCGGUAAAGGACUUACCAAAUCCAUAGGGGCUUGAGUAGAGGCCGCUGCGCAUGAAUGGUCCAGCAGGGGCAGAAUACAUAUAGGGGUUAGCCGCAUACCUUGAGCCUAUACCAUACCCGAUCAUUCAGCUGUUUGUUGAUCAACUCUUGACGUCUCUUGCGGUAUGCUUCUUCUUGCGCCUGUGGAUGUCAUCAACAAAAUGUCCUUUUCACACAACAACCGACUUUCCUGAAUUCGCUUCUUCUGCUCCUCCUUCAACCGCCUCUUUUCUGCCUUGGCUUUCUCCCGCUCUUCCUUCGUUCCAAUCAUCUUAUCCUUCUUUCUCUGGAACCAGUUCCUCUCCCCUUCCGUCCCCUCUUUCUCCGCACUUGUGCCUACAGUGCCCUUGGCCUUGCUAUCACCCUUGACACUCUUAACUUCCUUCCUCUUCUGCUUGGAGAGUUCUUCGUCUUCUGAUUGCUUGCGGACUGCACGCGCUUCUUUGGAAUCUGGGUGGGCGGGAUGAUCUUUCGGAAGAGUACGUAAGAACUCAGGAUCGUCGUAUGGGUGAACCCAAGUUGAACGCUUGGUUGCUUCAUCCACGUAGAAAUGGUGCUUUUGGCUGGUAUUCCAUCGGGAAUCAGUAUUAUUUCCACGUUGAGAGGCGAAGAACUAUCCGUUCCGAUUUUAACUUACUUGGGAUCAAAACACCUAACCCAGCCGGGGGGCAAAUCUCUCUGCUCGUCAUCCAUAUCCCUCAAUUCAUCAUUUAAAUCAAUAUCGUUUCCUUCAUUCGAAGUAUGGCUGAUUUCAGACAUAUUGGUGGGGGAGCGCUGCAUCGCGUUUCCGCCUGCAGAAGCGGACUGAGUAGUACUUUGCGGUGCUGUGGCCUGGAGGUUGGAUUUGCCCGACGCAUCGGCUGGUUGGUAAGGAGGGGGUGGGUCUGAAGGCAUCUUAAAUGUGCUUCCGGUAUGAUUAAGAUGAUAAACAUUAACCAUUCAUGGAAACCGCUAUAUAUACGUGUGUGUAGUACGCCCUCCUCGAACAUGUGGAGUUGUUAGCUGGUAAUGGUCUUAUGAUUGCCGACUCUUGUUCCCGGUAAAAAUAUCGGACGGAAAUGACGUCAAAAGUGACUCACCCGUAGCCAAAAUCUGGUGAUGCAAUCAGAUUCCAUCUACAUUCGCUUUAUGUUGAUUUCGUUAAUUAUCUCUCGC